This 484-nucleotide ribosomal RNA is filed under the name uncultured bacterium. RNAcentral's name for it is "partial 16S ribosomal RNA". It matches the Rfam family "Bacterial small subunit ribosomal RNA", at positions 30 to 507 of the family's 1533-position model. The record is from RNAcentral.
AUUGAACGCUGGCGGCAGGCCUAACACAUGCAAGUCGAGCGGAUGAAGGGAGCUUGCUCCUGGAUUCAGCGGCGGACGGGUGAGUAAUGCCUAGGAAUCUGCCUGGUAGUGGGGGAUAACGUCCGGAAACGGGCGCUAAUACCGCAUACGUCCUGAGGGAGAAAGUGGGGGAUCUUCGGACCUCACGCUAUCAGAUGAGCCUAGGUCGGAUUAGCUAGUUGGUGGGGUAAAGGCCUACCAAGGCGACGAUCCGUAACUGGUCUGAGAGGAUGAUCAGUCACACUGGAACUGAGACACGGUCCAGACUCCUACAGGAGGCAGCAGUGGGGAAUAUUGGACAAUGGGCGAAAGCCUGAUCCAGCCAUGCCGCGUGUGUGAAGAAGGUCUUCGGAUUGUAAAGCACUUUAAGUUGGGAGGAAGGGCAGUAAGUUAAUACCUUGCUGUUUUGACGUUACCAACAGAAUAAGCACCGGCUAACUUCGUG